Molecule: ribosomal RNA, 2773 nt
Filed under: Escherichia coli
Lineage: Bacteria; Pseudomonadati; Pseudomonadota; Gammaproteobacteria; Enterobacterales; Enterobacteriaceae
Description: bacterial LSU rRNA
Rfam family: Bacterial large subunit ribosomal RNA
Source: RNAcentral
AGCGUACACGGUGGAUGCCCUGGCAGUCAGAGGCGAUGAAGGACGUGCUAAUCUGCGAUAAGCGUCGGUAAGGUGAUAUGAACCGUUAUAACCGGCGAUUUCCGAAUGGGGAAACCCAGUGUGUUUCGACACACUAUCAUUAACUGAAUCCAUAGGUUAAUGAGGCGAACCGGGGGAACUGAAACAUCUAAGUACCCCGAGGAAAAGAAAUCAACCGAGAUUCCCCCAGUAGCGGCGAGCGAACGGGGAGCAGCCCAGAGCCUGAAUCAGUGUGUGUGUUAGUGGAAGCGUCUGGAAAGGCGCGCGAUACAGGGUGACAGCCCCGUACACAAAAAUGCACAUAUUGUGAGCUCGAUGAGUAGGGCGGGACACGUGGUAUCCUGUCUGAAUAUGGGGGGACCAUCCUCCAAGGCUAAAUACUCCUGACUGACCGAUAGUGAACCAGUACCGUGAGGGAAAGGCGAAAAGAACCCCGGCGAGGGGAGUGAAAAAGAACCUGAAACCGUGUACGUACAAGCAGUGGGAGCACGCUUAGGCGUGUGACUGCGUACCUUUUGUAUAAUGGGUCAGCGACUUAUAUUCUGUAGCAAGGUUAACCGAAUAGGGGAGCCGAAGGGAAACCGAGUCUUAACUGGGCGUUAAGUUGCAGGGUAUAGACCCGAAACCCGGUGAUCUAGCCAUGGGCAGGUUGAAGGUUGGGUAACACUAACUGGAGGACCGAACCGACUAAUGUUGAAAAAUUAGCGGAUGACUUGUGGCUGGGGGUGAAAGGCCAAUCAAACCGGGAGAUAGCUGGUUCUCCCCGAAAGCUAUUUAGGUAGCGCCUCGUGAAUUCAUCUCCGGGGGUAGAGCACUGUUUCGGCAAGGGGGUCAUCCCGACUUACCAACCCGAUGCAAACUGCGAAUACCGGAGAAUGUUAUCACGGGAGACACACGGCGGGUGCUAACGUCCGUCGUGAAGAGGGAAACAACCCAGACCGCCAGCUAAGGUCCCAAAGUCAUGGUUAAGUGGGAAACGAUGUGGGAAGGCCCAGACAGCCAGGAUGUUGGCUUAGAAGCAGCCAUCAUUUAAAGAAAGCGUAAUAGCUCACUGGUCGAGUCGGCCUGCGCGGAAGAUGUAACGGGGCUAAACCAUGCACCGAAGCUGCGGCAGCGACGCUUAUGCGUUGUUGGGUAGGGGAGCGUUCUGUAAGCCUGUGAAGGUGUGCUGUGAGGCAUGCUGGAGGUAUCAGAAGUGCGAAUGCUGACAUAAGUAACGAUAAAGCGGGUGAAAAGCCCGCUCGCCGGAAGACCAAGGGUUCCUGUCCAACGUUAAUCGGGGCAGGGUGAGUCGACCCCUAAGGCGAGGCCGAAAGGCGUAGUCGAUGGGAAACAGGUUAAUAUUCCUGUACUUGGUGUUACUGCGAAGGGGGGACGGAGAAGGCUAUGUUGGCCGGGCGACGGUUGUCCCGGUUUAAGCGUGUAGGCUGGUUUUCCAGGCAAAUCCGGAAAAUCAAGGCUGAGGCGUGAUGACGAGGCACUACGGUGCUGAAGCAACAAAUGCCCUGCUUCCAGGAAAAGCCUCUAAGCAUCAGGUAACAUCAAAUCGUACCCCAAACCGACACAGGUGGUCAGGUAGAGAAUACCAAGGCGCUUGAGAGAACUCGGGUGAAGGAACUAGGCAAAAUGGUGCCGUAACUUCGGGAGAAGGCACGCUGAUAUGUAGGUGAAGUCCCUCGCGGAUGGAGCUGAAAUCAGUCGAAGAUACCAGCUGGCUGCAACUGUUUAUUAAAAACACAGCACUGUGCAAACACGAAAGUGGACGUAUACGGUGUGACGCCUGCCCGGUGCCGGAAGGUUAAUUGAUGGGGUUAGCGCAAGCGAAGCUCUUGAUCGAAGCCCCGGUAAACGGCGGCCGUAACUAUAACGGUCCUAAGGUAGCGAAAUUCCUUGUCGGGUAAGUUCCGACCUGCACGAAUGGCGUAAUGAUGGCCAGGCUGUCUCCACCCGAGACUCAGUGAAAUUGAACUCGCUGUGAAGAUGCAGUGUACCCGCGGCAAGACGGAAAGACCCCGUGAACCUUUACUAUAGCUUGACACUGAACAUUGAGCCUUGAUGUGUAGGAUAGGUGGGAGGCUUUGAAGUGUGGACGCCAGUCUGCAUGGAGCCGACCUUGAAAUACCACCCUUUAAUGUUUGAUGUUCUAACGUUGACCCGUAAUCCGGGUUGCGGACAGUGUCUGGUGGGUAGUUUGACUGGGGCGGUCUCCUCCUAAAGAGUAACGGAGGAGCACGAAGGUUGGCUAAUCCUGGUCGGACAUCAGGAGGUUAGUGCAAUGGCAUAAGCCAGCUUGACUGCGAGCGUGACGGCGCGAGCAGGUGCGAAAGCAGGUCAUAGUGAUCCGGUGGUUCUGAAUGGAAGGGCCAUCGCUCAACGGAUAAAAGGUACUCCGGGGAUAACAGGCUGAUACCGCCCAAGAGUUCAUAUCGACGGCGGUGUUUGGCACCUCGAUGUCGGCUCAUCACAUCCUGGGGCUGAAGUAGGUCCCAAGGGUAUGGCUGUUCGCCAUUUAAAGUGGUACGCGAGCUGGGUUUAGAACGUCGUGAGACAGUUCGGUCCCUAUCUGCCGUGGGCGCUGGAGAACUGAGGGGGGCUGCUCCUAGUACGAGAGGACCGGAGUGGACGCAUCACUGGUGUUCGGGUUGUCAUGCCAAUGGCACUGCCCGGUAGCUAAAUGCGGAAGAGAUAAGUGCUGAAAGCAUCUAAGCACGAAACUUGCCCCGAGAUGAGUUCU